UACGUAGGGGGCAAGCGUUGUCCGGAAUCAUUGGGCGUAAAGAGCGUGUAGGCGGUCCGAUAAGUCCGCUCUGAAAGCCCGGGCUCAACCCCGGGAGGCGGGCGGAUACUGUCGGGCUAGAGUCCGGAAGAGGCAAGUGGAAUUCCUGGUGUAGCGGUGAAAUGCGCAGAUAUCAGGAGGAACACCGAUGGCGAAGGCAGCUUGCUGGGACGGUACUGACGCUGAGACGCGAAAGCGUGGGGAGCAAACAGG
This 252-nucleotide ribosomal RNA is filed under the name uncultured bacterium. RNAcentral's name for it is "partial 16S ribosomal RNA". It matches the Rfam family "Bacterial small subunit ribosomal RNA", at positions 524 to 776 of the family's 1533-position model. The record is from RNAcentral.